RNAcentral lists this ribosomal RNA (780 nucleotides) under Mucilaginibacter gracilis. RNAcentral's name for it is "bacterial SSU rRNA". It matches the Rfam family "Bacterial small subunit ribosomal RNA", at positions 68 to 849 of the family's 1533-position model. The record is from RNAcentral. Lineage: Bacteria; Pseudomonadati; Bacteroidota; Sphingobacteriia; Sphingobacteriales; Sphingobacteriaceae.
GGAUUUGGGAGCUUGCUCCUGAUGAGAGUGGCGCACGGGUGCGUAACACGUAUGUAACCUACCUUAAUCUGGGGGAUAGCCUCUCGAAAGAGAGAUUAACACCGCAUAACAUUAUCGGAUAGCAUUUUCUGAUAAUCAAAUAUUUAUAGGAUUAAGAUGGGCAUGCGGAACAUUAGCUAGUUGGUAAGGUAAUGGCUUACCAAGGCUACGAUGUUUAGGGGAUCUGAGAGGAUGACCCCCCACACUGGUACUGAGACACGGACCAGACUCCUACGGGAGGCAGCAGUAAGGAAUAUUGGUCAAUGGGCGCAAGCCUGAACCAGCCAUGCCGCGUGCAGGAAGACGGCCCUACGGGUUGUAAACUGCUUUUGUACCGGAAUAAACCUUGAUAUGUAUAUCGAGCUGAAUGUACGGUAAGAAUAAGGAUCGGCUAACUCCGUGCCAGCAGCCGCGGUAAUACGGAGGAUCCAAGCGUUAUCCGGAUUUAUUGGGUUUAAAGGGUGCGUAGGCGGCCUAUUAAGUCAGGGGUGAAAGACGGUAGCUUAACUAUCGCAGUGCCUUUGAUACUGAUAGGCUUGAAUACACUUGAGGUAGGCGGAAUGUGACAAGUAGCGGUGAAAUGCAUAGAUAUGUCACAGAACACCAAUUGCGAAGGCAGCUUACUAAAGUGAGAUUGACGCUGAGGCACGAAAGCGUGGGGAUCAAACAGGAUUAGAUACCCUGGUAGUCCACGCCCUAAACGAUGAAUACUCGAUGUUGGCGAUAUACGGUCAGCGUCUA